RNAcentral lists this ribosomal RNA (239 nucleotides) under uncultured bacterium. RNAcentral's name for it is "partial 16S ribosomal RNA". It matches the Rfam family "Bacterial small subunit ribosomal RNA", at positions 95 to 334 of the family's 1533-position model. The record is from RNAcentral.
CCGGCAAACGGGUGCGGAACACGUACGCAACCUUCCUUUAACUGGAGAAUAGCCCCUCGAAAGAGGGAUUAAUACUCCGUAACAUGUUGAUAAGGCAUCUUAUUAAUAUUAUAGCUCCGGCGGUUAAAGAUGGGCGUGCGCCUGAUUAAGUAGUUGGCGGGGUAACGGCCCACCAAGCCUUCGAUCAGUAACUGGUGUGAGAGCACGACCAGUCACACGGGCACUGAGACACGGGCCCG